GGAAUUAUUGGGCGUAAAGGGCGCGCAGGCGGCCUGUUAAGUCUGAUGUGAAAGACCGCGGCUCAACCGCGGGGUGGCAUCAGAAACUGGCAGGCUUGAGUGCAGGAGAGGAGAGUGGAAUUCCCGGUGUAGCGGUGGAAUGCGUAGAGAUCGGGAGGAAUACCAGUGGCGAAGGCGGCUCUCUGGCCUGUUACUGACGCUGAGGCGCGAAAGCGUGGGGAGCGAACAGGAUUAGAUACCCUGGUAGUCCACGCCGUAAACGAUGAGUGCUAGGUGUUGGGGGUAUCACGCUCUCUGUGCCGAAGGUAACCCAAUAAGCACUCCGCCUGGGGGGUACGGCCGCAAGGCUGAAACUCAAAGGAAUUGACGGGGGCCCGCACAAGCGGUGGAGCAUGUGGUUUAAUUCGAAGCAACGCGAAGAACCUUGCCAGGGCUUGACAUCCCGCUGAUCGGUGUAGAGAUACACCUUCCCUUUUGGGCAGCGGUGACAGGUGGUGCAUGGUUGUCGUCAGCUCGUGUCGUGAGAUGUUGGGUUCAGUCCCGCAACGAGCGCAACCCUUAUCGUCAGUUGCCAGCACUUGGGGUGGGCACUCUGGCGAGACAGCCGGUGAAAGCCGGAGGAAGGUGGGGAUGACGUCAAAUCAUCAUGCCCCUUAUGUCCUGGGCUACACACGUGCUACAAUGGCCGGUACAACGGGCAGCGAACCCGCGAGGGGGAGCCAAUCCCAGAAAACCGGUCUCAGUUCGGAUCGCAGGCUGCAACUCGCCUGCGUGAAGCUGGAAUCGCUAGUAAUCGCGGAUCAGCAUGCCGCGGUGAAUCCGUUCCCGGGCCUUGUACACACCGCCCGU
RNAcentral lists this ribosomal RNA (849 nucleotides) under uncultured bacterium. Its description in RNAcentral is "bacterial SSU rRNA". It matches the Rfam family "Bacterial small subunit ribosomal RNA", at positions 547 to 1397 of the family's 1533-position model. The record is from RNAcentral.